GCCGAGGUGGCGGAAUUGGCAGACGCGCCGGACUCAAAAUCCGGUGCCCGCAAGGGCGUGAGGGUUCGAGUCCCUCUCUCGGUA
This 84-nucleotide transfer RNA is filed under the name Acidobacteriota bacterium. RNAcentral describes it as "Acidobacteria bacterium (marine metagenome) tRNA-Leu". It matches the Rfam family "tRNA". From Rfam's summary of the family: Transfer RNA (tRNA) molecules are approximately 80 nucleotides in length. The record is from RNAcentral. Lineage: Bacteria; Pseudomonadati; Acidobacteriota.